CCCUGGCGCCGGGCCGCGGGGAGCCCUCCCCGGCACAUCUCGGGCCUGUCACGGAGGGGGGGGGUGGAGGAGGAGGGGGGACACGGGACACGACGGCUUCUGCCGUCCCUCUGCUCCCUCCCUCGGCUGGAGAGCGGAGAACCGGCCGCCGGGGCGUGAGGCCGCCACCCGGGACCCGGCCGGGCGUGGUUUGGGGUUUGGAGACCCGCUCUGGCGGGUCGGCAGGAGCUUUUUACCGUGGAACGGGGGGGUCGGUGUCACGGAGGAGGUGCCUUCCCCUCUGGCGCCGCUUCCCCGGCGUGCAGUGUCAGCCCAGCCCUGAAGUUGGUCGCCUGCGACCAUUUUGCCUCUCCCCCAUCCUUUCCCUCCCGAAGUCUCACUGAAUAAUUCAUUCCCGCAGCUCCCUUUGGCAGGGUAAUGUCUGAACCAGCUAAAGUCUCUUUUCUGCGUUUAUUUAAGGGAAGAAUCAGUGAGAACGCGUAUCACCAACGAAAAUGAAGAUUCACUCCAGUUAAAAACCUUAAUCUAUUAUCAGAGACACAUAGGAUAGAAAAGAUAAGGACACAGGAUUGACAGCUCUAAAAUGGAAAUUGCAUAACAUUGCUGAGAACAAGUUCUGAUCCUAAAUUAGAAGAACGAUCCAUACUUUGGCUGAGGGAAUGGCAGUGUCCACUACUGGCAAACUUCUCUCAAAUCUCAGGCUUGUCAUCCUCUCUGAUUUUCAUAGCAAUGCUAGAUACAGAAAUUUCUCCAGUUACUGCUGAAUCUUCAAACUCCCUUCUUCAGAAAAGCAUUAAAAAAGUAAUGAAAAAUAAAUUCAGACAUCUGAAAUCAACCUUCAGCAUGGAGAUGCCGAGUAAGUCUGGAUUAAUAGAUAUCAGAGGACAGAUCACCUCAAAAACCUGAACAGAACACAGUCAUACACGUGCAUCCCAAAUUGUCUUAAUUUACAAAAGAGGAAUGAAACUUAACGGAUCAGUAAAUCAAGAUAGUGGGAUGAUACUAAUGGCACAACUGCCCCUUUAUAUCUCCAGCUCACUAGAAACUGCUGCUCCCCAAAGAAGACAACCUGGUUGAAGCAAUCUGGCUACAUAUCUUCUCCAUCCAGGACUGUGGUAAACCUUAUAUGUGAAAAGCAUACACACCUAAGAAUGAAUAAAAAUGUAGAAAUAGUUUGGUUAUCAUGUGACAUGCCAAAAUCUGUCUCAGUUUGUGCCUGCAAAGCUCUAGUUUGUUUUCAUUGCAGGUUUUCAAAGACCUGGUUACUCCAGAGGCACAUCCGUCUCCAGGAGUCCUCUAAGACCACUGCAUUAUUCUGAGCAAGGCAAAGCCCACAGGACGGUGAAGAUGUGGUGCAGCACAAAGCCUGCCACAGCCUGCCAGGCAGCACAUCAGCCACCAUCAAUACAAAGGUGCCUGAAGGCACCCUGUGGAAAGAAGCCUUUUUCCAAGAGAAUUGCAAGACAACCUGCUGGAUUUUUUGUUUGUCUUUGAAUGCCACCAAACUUAAGUAGAAAAACAGAUGAGAGGAAAAGACAGAGUCUAAAUUUACAGGGCUACCUGAGUUGCAUGGAAAGAAGUGUUCAUUUUAUUAGAAAUGAAUCCACUGCACCCUCUUCUACUGUUACUUUUCAAUACUGUUUAAGAAUCGGUACACAGAUGAAGAGCAGAUGCUUCCUUUCGAUUAGUCUUAAUGCAACUCAUUUACUUAAAAACAAACAAACAAAAAAUCCCAACACAUCAACUUGACCAGCAUUUGCACUGUAUUCUCCCACUGGACACCUGCAUCCUUAGGUCUUCAUUUUCAGCUGUACAGUCUGCGUAUGCAACUACAUCACACUACCAUGAUGAAUCGUUGUUGUAGGGAUCAUCUGUUCCAUUUGUACAUUCUAAAUAAAGAAGAGGAACACUUCUGAGUUGUUAUUUAAAAUGUAAGCUCUUGGCAAAUUGGUGGAUCAAAUGUGAUGAAGUAAGUGGACUUGUCCUGCGUCUACCUACGUAUUUUCUGUGGCAUCACUACUCCGUGAACGGACUAUGAAGUGCUUCAGUUCUCUGGCACUGCAGCCUGGAGAUUGUCCCGUCCACACAUCCGACGUGGCAGUGAGUUGCUACAUUGCUCUUUUACAAGGAACCAAGGAACAAGUUCAAGGAGAAACGCGCACUGCGUUGCGAAGCGGCAGCACAACAGGCUGAUGGGUGAGAAAUGCCAGAAGCGGCUAAAGCAGCAACAGCUGCCCUGGGAGGAACAAAGAAACGGGUCACUGUUGUAAGCCAGAGCACAUGUCUGCGUGGGUCUCCUACCCCGUCAGAGCGAAGAUUAGAUGGUACCUCCCGACACGAGUGCACAAGAACCCACAGUGCCUCGGGGGAGGGGGAAUGGAGGGAGAUGCCAGAUGGCAAAUCCAACCAAGAGAAACCACUGGAAAAGCUACCCAGGCUGUCACCAGCCAACAAAUACAUUCUCCCUUUAACCAUUUCUGGGGCAAUUCAGGUGUUCAGAUUGUUUAUCGUUCAGAGCCAGCAUAACAAAGCCUCACUCUCAGCUGCUCACAGACAUGUCUAACAGCAACACAAAGAGUAAAAAGGAACUUUAUUGCUAAAUAACUCAGCUAGGUGAAACCUAGCCAAGACUAUAUAGAAUAAGUCACUAAUGCUACUUCAAGCAUGAGAGGCUAAAAUGACAGUAAUCUAAACAGAAGGAAUAUCAACUAGAGUAUGAGCAGGAACACCGACGAUUAGGUGCAAUUUGAACACACCUUUUAGAAGGAACUCAGGAGACUUGUCCAAGCCCAGUGAGUCUGUCUUUGUGCACUCGCAUACACACACAGCACUGCUACCACAACAGCUGCUCCAGAGAUACUCUUGAGCAAACAGAGCUCCUACUGCAGGCUGAGCGUUGAAAGGAACAACUUCAACAGGAGCGAACAAGAACAGUUCCAUCAGAGGGUAUAUUGUAACUUAGGAGGUAAAGCAACAUGGUAGGAGAUGUAGGGUGAAAUCACUUGAUGGGUAAAAGAAAGACUAUCCAUGCCGAGAUGCUUGAUGAGGGGAAAGAAAGCCACCAGCUUAUUUUCUGGUUGUUUUUUAAGAGAUUGAUGCAAGAACCACCCAACGGGGCUUAAGCAAAGGAGCGACCCACACUGCUGAACGCCGCCUGCACACAGUUUUGGAGGCUGAAGAAUGCUAAAAGCCUCAGUGCCUGUAGGCUAAGAGGAAACUGACUGGAGAGCUUCUGAAUAUCUAAAUUUUGGGCUUAGAUGGUUUUCAAGAAAGCUAAGCACAUAAGUCCUUCUCUAAAUGGAGCCCUCCUUUUGAAAAAAGGUGUCGCUGUGGAAUGCCAUGAGGUUCUAUGGAGGUUUUAGGGUGUGCUUCUGUUCCGUGGUACAAAACCUAAGCCAGGGAGAAGGCCACAGAGAAAAGCAGAACACACUAGUGUAAAACAGUGUUAAAUGAGACCAAAACCUGUACCACAACCAGAGAUGUCUGUAAAGACUGGAUGUUCUUUGACGCAUUACGUAACACAUUGCAGCAAAACAUUCAGUUGCUUCCAGGACUCUGACCAGUAACAAAAAUUAAGUUAUUUUUAAAAGAGUUGAACCUAUGACUUUAAGCAUUAUGCUGAAUAAAUUUUUUUCCACCUCACUUCCUGUAUAUGAAAAUGCAUUAUUAAAAGUAGCACUGGAUCACUUUAUAUUUUGUUUAAAAAUAAACGUCCUUUAACUUCUUUAAUUUUUUUCUGUGAAGGAUAUAAGGGUGAGAUAAGAGGAAGCUGAAAAAUUACCAUCAAAACUCUUUGAAAUGGAAAUUGCCUAAUAAAAGAUUAUCAGUGAUAACAGAUGAUUUGCAGAAUGUGACAGUGCAUCAUGGAAAUGGUUUUUGAAAUGCUGGUGAACACAAGCCUCUAAAAUAGAUUUUUAUUGCUUUGGCAUGUCCAAAAGAUCUUGUCUUCCCUUACUGCACUUUUCAAGUAAGUCUAUGCAUGCUAAGAUUGGCAAUUUACCCAGUACAUUCAUGAAAAAUUAAUGAUUUUCAAAGAAUAUGUAAGUACUGCAGCAGGCAUGACUUCGCAGUAAACAGUAAAAAACGAGUGCUAUUGUUCUCUGGACUUUGAUUUGUAAAAAUUUGAAGUAAUAAAACAAGGUUUCUAAAAUAUCUAUAAAAUUUUGAAGAUUCCAGAUUGUGCUUGGACUUCAAGGUUUCAGACAUGUACAAGUUAAUCACAAACCUCAGCAGAGUGGAUUCAGUGAGGGGGGUGAGGGAAUGAGGAUAGUGCCUGUAAGAAACUGUUUUCCUUUCAGAUCACUGUCAGACUUUGCAGUCUUGUCCUUUUUUUGUGUAAAAUAUUACCAGUGUGACCUGCUUUUGCUAUUAAAGUGUCUUCCAAUGAGAGCAAGAGAAGACAUCCUAGCAACAAAAAGACAAUAUUGAUUUUUAGUUAAUUUAACAUUUUACAUGUUUGGAGUUGUAUUUAUGUGCAUUGCUCAGUCAUGUGUGUUAGUUCUGCCUUUGGAAUUACGCACUUUUUGGUGUUUGCCUAGACUUGUUUAAUUUGUUCUUCCAGUUACACCAGUGCAUUUCUCUAAUUGCAUUGCAGCAAAAUCAAAUCUGGGUGCGGCUGAGCAGUAACGCCAGGGCUCAGCACAGGCUGGAGGGGUGCUGGGAGCUGUCGGGGGUCUUGGGGGGUGCAGCUGGGCAGUGUGUGGCCACUGAGGGCCAUCCCACCACCCCAGCCAGGGUCCUCAAGUGCCCUCCCACGCCACAUGCCCUCCGUGCAGGUAGCAGCCACAAACACCCUCUGUGUCUCAUGGUGACUUUGAUGGAGAGCAUCAACUCAUUCACAGCAGUGUCAAGACACGCAAGAUGUCCCUUUCUGUCAUCCACAUCAUCCCUUGCAGCCUGCUACAGAGCUGUUUUAUCUCAGAAAUACGUACACAUCAGGAAGAGGGGAAUUCUUUUAAUAACACAAGGAGCGUUAACAGAGUUUUCCUCCUACCACGGCUUCUGGGUUUGCAUCCUUUAUGUGCUUGGAGAGUGGAUACCAAGCUGAAGGUGUGCAAUUCUCGGAGUCAACAAACGUGGGCUUCGCAGAGGCGCUGAAGCUGACACUAGUUUUCACACUUACCACCUGCAGAAUGUGUGAGAGAAAAGCCUACGUAUGGUAUAGGGACCCCAGCUAGUUCAUUUUUUCAGCUCUCAUGUCAGCAAUAGCAGAGAGAGAUUGAUCAGGGCAUGCUGUAACAGUGAUAAAGUGGGAGAAGAGGAUCCAGCAGGGCGAGCUGCAUGCCAGGCACCCCCGAUCGUGGUCCCUGGCCCUGACACUGCAAGGUGAAGCUCCCUCCGCGCCAGACCCCAGUCUUACAGGGACAUCCUCUGGUACGGCGAGGGCGUUAGUUGCGGUGAUAUGGAGGCUGCAGAGUGAAAGAAAGCGAGGAGAGAAGCAGCCUUUUAUAGCAGCUUUAUAGCAGAGCGGAUUCGGUCCACAAGAGGCACGUGGUUCUUGGUGAUGGGGAAUUGCACAGAAAUAGCCUUUUCACAAAUUUCUACUGAGCUGCUAAAACAACCACUCUAAAACCUUGUUAUUUCAAAACCCUACAGCUAGGGAAUUUGUCAGUGAAAUUUGCUGUGGUCCAGAUGCGUGACAGAUAGAAGGGAGACACUGAAUGUUUACACCAAUCCCCUCCUACACAACCCUUAUCUCCUUACCCAGACUUCUGUAUUCUGUACUUCCAGUGCCGAAUUCCCCAAUUUCAAUCUGCAGGGAGCAGCAGGAACAGGUUCAGUUUUGUCCUAAAGUGAGGGAACACUGCUACGUAUUGUGUGUUCACCUCAAGGUUGCUUUGAUCAAAAGGAAUAUGUAACCCACUGCUUAGCAUGUUAGAGGGUCCCCUUCUGUGUCUUACCCAGAGGAAGGUGCUAGUUGUUAGUCACUGAUUACAGAAAGCAGUUGAUGGAAGUAGGCCAGAAAUUCCUCAAUUCCCUGUAUGUCACCCAUAAAAAGAAAAAAAAAAAAAAACCAGAAAAAACCCCAAACAAUAAACAAACCAAAACCUAACAAAAACCUCACCAAAACACAGACUUUUUGAAUCAGUACUAUGUAGACCUGACACUUCAAAUAACUCAUAUGUCUGUGCAAAGUGCAACAACGGCUUAAAUAAACAUUUAGUUUUUCUAAACCAAAUUGUGACUAAACGUCGGUUCUGUAUUUGAAAAACAGAGUGGUGACUGGCUUGCGUCCAGACUGAACUUCUGAGUCUGUGAAAAUUUCAACCAGUGAUUUCAGUUUGUAUUAAUUACAGAAAUGAAGGAUUCAAGCUCCUUCAUAUCUGGGCAAGUUGGUUGCUUUUGUCUUUAAUAAAAAUAGCUUUCCCAGUUAGGAAAUAGGUGCAGGGAGUACCACAGGAAUAAUUCUCUAAAGAAUCCCUCCAAUAGCAAUAGUGAUGACAAGAAUUUUAACUGGUUUCAAGAGGCAGCUACUACCUACAUUUUAUGAAACUGGGACCAUCUACAACAAUAUAGGUCUGGCCUCUAAAAUCUAGAAAGCCAUUUUUACCUGGUUAAAUAUAUUUCACCCUCUGAAAGGCUAAAAAAAGCCCUAAAGAAAGUAUUCAUUUCAACAGGCUUUGAAUGAGCCGCCAGAAGAUAUCUGAACGUCACUGUGUCACUUUUUCAGUCAUCUAACACUCGCCCUUCAUAUUCUUAAGACUGUCUUCCCUGAUACUUGAGUCAUUUAUGCACUAUACCAUGAAUGUUUCCAUAAUUAGGAAGAAAAGAAUUUCUAUUAUUCCUAUUUAACGAGGUACAGAAGCUAUUCUUUGACACAUACAGUGAAUGAAUCCUUUUUAGAUAAACAAACAGCUUUACCUGAAUUUUCUACUUACUUCCUUCUCCUGUCAUAUGACAGACGAUUUCAUGGCAUUUCUGGUAUAGUUUGUUUUUAUUUUCUCUAAGUGCACCUUGCUUCCUCUCGCUCAGGUGCAAUGAUACAGUAAUUGAAGGUUUUCAUCACCUCUUACCCACAAGGAAAGUCUUGCCUCACCCUUCAUCUCUAGAGGACAUCACAUUAGGAGAUUAAGACUGACUAUUGAUGAGUAACUUCAUCUUCCUGUGAAACUGCAAUGGGUGCCACCCAAAACAUAGAAGUCCAUUCUGAAGGAGGAAAGCUAAAGUAAAAUCUGAAUUUAUUCCCUUAUUUCUAGCUGAAUGCCUAAAAACCAGCACAGACAAAAACAAAGCAAAUAAAAACCUGGACCUCCUGAUGCAAGUGAAGAUUUUGUCAAGUACAACAUUGUGGAAAGGAUUUCAUGCACCAUCAUUUAGAAAUUCAUAUUUGAACAUACAGCCAAACUGCUGCUCCAACGCCCGAAAUGUCUUUGCUUUUACCAAAACCAAAUCCCACCUUUGCAAAAUAAUUUCUGGUGUUGAAUACUGCCGCCUUUUUUAAUGUUGUUUCAUUGUUACUUUUUAUUUUUCUCAAAUCCAAUACUUUUCUUUUAAUUUAUUUCAGAAAUGUGUUUUUAGAGAAUCUUAAAUAAGUACAGAAGCACUUUAUCUAUCUUAAGCAUGUUCUCUUCACCAGGGAUGGUCCCUCUCCCCCCUAAACUCUCAUGCAAUCUAUUUAUGUUCUGAUAAGGAAGCCAAUAACAAAAAAGUAUACAUUAAAACUGAGAAAGAUUAAUUCAAUAGAAACUCUUUCAUUAUGACAGUAUUGCAUUUGCAUUAGGCCAAGUGCAAUGUCCUGGGUCCGGACAAUCCCCAAUAUCAAUACAGACUGGGGGAUGGAUGGACCAGAGAAGGACUUUAGGAUUCUGGUAGAAGAAAAAUUAGACAUCAGCCGACAAUGUGUGCCUACAGCCCAGAAAGCUGACUGUAUCCUGGGCUGCAGCAAAAUAAACAUGGCCAGCAGGUCACAGGAGGUGAUUCUUCCCCUCUCUCCACUCUUGAGAGACACCACCUGGAGUACUGCGUCCAGCUCUGGGGUCCCCAGUACAAGAAACACAUGGACCUGUUGGAGUGGGCCCAGAGGAGGGCCAUGAAAAUGAUCAGAGGGCUGAAACACCUCUGCUAGGCUCAGGAUUGUUCAGCCUGGAGAAGAGAAGGCUCUGGGGAGACUUUAUUGUGGCCUCUCAAUAUAUAAAGAGGGCUUAAAGGGAAGAUGGAGCAAGACUUUUUACCAAGGCCUGUAGAGACAGGACAAGGGGCAACAGUUUUAAACUGAGAGUGUGUAAGUUUAGAUUGGAUAUAGGGAUACAUUUUUUACAAUGAGGGUGGUGAGACACUGGAACAGGUUGCCCAGAGAAGCUGUGAAUGUACCAUCCCUGGAAGUGCUCAAGUUCAGGCUGGACAGGGCCCUGAACAACCUGGUCUAGUGAAGGAUGCCCCUGCCCAUGGUGGGAAGGUUGGACUAGAUGAUCUUCAAAGGUACCUUCCAACCCAAACCAUUCUUUGAUUCUGUAAUUCUAUGACUUCUUACCGAUAGAUUUAACUCAUACAACAGAAUGUUUUCCUACGUAGACCACUUUGCAUGAGGAGUCAAAGAGGUAAGAGCCUGGUUUGUGCAUCUCGUUCCACUUUUUUUCACUCUCCAGCCUGGUUCUCCACUCCCCUGGUUCUUCCACUUCUUCUGUGUUAUCUCAAAAGACCUUCUGUUCCAAGGCUGUCUCAAAUGUCAUUUCUUUUCUGCAACCCUGUCCUUUUACGUGUCUUUCAUUCCAGUUCAGAGUUCACUGCUUUUUCCUGGUAACCUUGACCACUUGUGAUACUUCUCCCCUGCUUCAUUAAAUCUCUGUCCCACAAAGUUCUCCACUCACAUAUCUCACAUAGGCACGAGAAAUCCAGUGUAGUUCAGCCUAUAUGAAUGUAUACACUGCUUAUACGCUCGAAGUGAAAUGCUUUGCUGGGUUUGACAACCAUAGUCAGUCCCAUGGAGACUUAUGACCAUCUUUCAUGGAAACCACAAACAGCUUAGAGGAGUUUUUUCACUUUUAAUUAACCUAAUAAGAAAAUCUGACUUGGUUUUUAAAUGAUUUCAUUAACCAUUUUGGGCACUACAGAUUAGCAGCUAAGAACAAACCUUUCAACCGGCUGCUGGAGGAGGCUGAUUUUUAGAGCUAAUGACCAUCAUCUAAGGGCUUUCAGG
Chroicocephalus ridibundus (black-headed gull) is the source of this 9136-nucleotide long non-coding RNA. RefSeq lists it as uncharacterized. NCBI's taxonomy places the organism in Eukaryota, Metazoa, Chordata, Aves, Charadriiformes, Laridae. The transcript is spliced from 6 exons. The record is from RefSeq and is a predicted model, not a curated record.